GCUUUUUUUUAUGAAUAUUUGAAAUUUGUAUAAAUAGGCCAUUGCCUCUCUUCAACCAGUUCAGUUGUUUCAUUUUUAGAACAGCGGUAUAUACUCACGAUCAAACAGCGAACAAAUAUUCAAUUUUCAAACAUGCGAAUCGGCAAUUUUAACAUAAAUUUCUUUAAGAUUUUCUUGUUACUUAUCCUCGUUUUGGCAAUUUGCGCAGCUGUAACUGAUGCUCGCUCACAUGGCUCACAUGGUCAUUAUCACUAUUCAUCGAGACAUAGCGGCAAGGGCGGCGGAAAAUGGCUUGGUGAUCUUUUCAAAGCAAUCGGACGUUUUUUCACAGCUAUAGUUGACUUUUUCAGACGUAAAAAGAGAAAUGAAGAGGAACAAGCCCGUUAUAAUGUGCAAUACACUUCUUAAGUAUCAAAAAAGUUAAAAAUCAAAACAGCAACAAAUACGCAGUAUUUGUAUAUACCACAUAAACUUGUAGCCGAUAUAGAGAGAAGAUUCUCAGUGCUGUUCUCUCUCUCAGCUUUCUUUCUACGCACUGCAAUCAAACAUUCUUUGGACUCUGCGCUCUACAAGUUAAUAUACGAUACAUUUAUCUAAAAA
Long non-coding RNA from Drosophila sulfurigaster albostrigata, 600 nucleotides. RefSeq lists it as uncharacterized. NCBI's taxonomy places the organism in Eukaryota, Metazoa, Arthropoda, Insecta, Diptera, Drosophilidae. The transcript is spliced from 2 exons. The record is from RefSeq and is a predicted model, not a curated record.